AUGGGUUGGUUCAGGUCGGCCAUUGAUGCUGCUGGCCUGAAGGAGAUAAAGUGCAAAAAUCGCCGCUACACCUGGAGCAACGAACGUCAAGAUCCCACCCUUGUCAACAUUGACAAGUUCUUCUGCAACCAAGCCUGGGAAUCCCUUUUUCACAAUUUUGCAGUGUUGGCGGCUUCUACGGCUACUUCAGACCACUGCCCUCUGAUCUUAGCCGACACAAGUGCCCCGCCACGCCGUGCGAGCUUUAGAUUUGAGAGCUUCUGGCCUCGCUUCCCUCGUUUCCAUGAAACGGUUACAGCCGCCUGGAAUAGGCCAGUGCAGUCCUCCUGCGCUUUUCAGCGUCUUCACACCAAAAUGGAGUGCACGACGCGUGACCUGAAGAUCUGGAGCAAGGCACACUUUAGCGAUGCGAGGCUACAGUUUCAUAUAGCAGCAGAAAUUGUGCUCCGAUUAGAUGUAGCUCAGGAAACCCGGCGUUUGUCUGACGCCGAAUUCAACCUCAGAAAACUCUUGAAGCUACGGCUUCUGGGUUUGGCGGCGAUCGACCGAGCCAGA
RNAcentral lists this ribosomal RNA (555 nucleotides) under Triticum aestivum (bread wheat). RNAcentral describes it as "partial small subunit ribosomal RNA". The record is from RNAcentral. Lineage: Eukaryota; Viridiplantae; Streptophyta; Magnoliopsida; Poales; Poaceae.